GCCAGGCGUGGUGGGGCGCACCUGUAAUACCAGCAGCUUGGGAGGCUGAGACUGGAGGAUUGCAAGUUCAAGGCCAGCCUCAGCAAUUUAUUGAGGCCCUAAACAACUCAGUGAGACCCUGUCUUUA
Molecule: small RNA, 127 nt
Filed under: Marmota monax (woodchuck)
Lineage: Eukaryota; Metazoa; Chordata; Mammalia; Rodentia; Sciuridae
Source: RNAcentral